This 463-nucleotide ribosomal RNA is filed under the name Vreelandella stevensii. Its description in RNAcentral is "partial 16S ribosomal RNA". It matches the Rfam family "Bacterial small subunit ribosomal RNA", at positions 338 to 793 of the family's 1533-position model. The record is from RNAcentral. Lineage: Bacteria; Pseudomonadati; Pseudomonadota; Gammaproteobacteria; Oceanospirillales; Halomonadaceae.
CCUACGGGGCGCAGCAGUGGGGAAUAUUGGACAAUGGGCGAAAGCCUGAUCCAGCCAUGCCGCGUGUGUGAAGAAGGCCUUCGGGUUGUAAAGCACUUUCAGUGGGGAAGAAAGCCUUGGGGCUAAUACCCUCGAGGAAGGACAUCACCCACAGAAGAAGCACCGGCUAACUCCGUGCCAGCAGCCGCGGUAAUACGGAGGGUGCGAGCGUUAAUCGGAAUUACUGGGCGUAAAGCGCGCGUAGGCGGUCUGAUAAGCCGGUUGUGAAAGCCCCGGGCUCAACCUGGGAACGGCAUCCGGAACUGUCAGGCUAGAGUGCAGGAGAGGAAGGUAGAAUUCCCGGUGUAGCGGUGAAAUGCGUAGAGAUCGGGAGGAAUACCAGUGGCGAAGGCGGCCUUCUGGACUGACACUGACGCUGAGGUGCGAAAGCGUGGGUAGCAAACAGGAUUAGAUACCCUUGUAU